This 408-nucleotide ribosomal RNA is filed under the name uncultured bacterium. RNAcentral describes it as "partial 16S ribosomal RNA". It matches the Rfam family "Bacterial small subunit ribosomal RNA", at positions 28 to 526 of the family's 1533-position model. The record is from RNAcentral.
GACGAACGCUGGCGGCGUGCUUAACACAUGCAAGUCGAACGAAGUGGCGAACGGGUGAGUAACGCGUAAUCAACCUGCCCUUCAGAGGGGGACAACAGUUGGAAACGACUGCUAAUACCGCAUACUGAAGUAGGGGAUUGCGUCUGAUUCGCUAGUUGGUGGGGUAACGGCGAACCAAGACGAUGACCAGUAGCCGGUGGAAGAGGAGGAACGGCGACAUUGGGACGGAGACACGGCCCAGACUGCUACGGGAGGCAGCAGUGGGGAAUCUGCCGCAAUGGACGAAAGGCGGACGGAGCAACGCAGCGUGAGUGAGGACAGCCUUCGGGUUGGAAAGCUCUGUUAAUCGGGACGCGGAACCGGAAUAGAAAGCCACAGCAAACUACGAGCCAGCAGCCGCGGUAAUAC